ACGCUGUAGAGUUUCCCCUCUGCACACCGUGGCCAUGACUUUGGCAGUCCCGGGCGGCGGCAGCGGCUCUCCCGUCUCCACGCACCUGAUAGCGGACUGAAAGGGGGAAGCUAACACCGGGGAGAGGCUUUAGCAGACGCCGACCGAGACGAUUUUCCAGACGGGUGUCAGAACUGUUCAUCUAUUUCAAGGAAGACGCUCUGCCACCUAAUGUUUUUGCCAACAAAGAAGACUGGGCUUCAUCUUCAAAGCACCAGCUAAUCCACCACUCGUCUUGCAGGCCAGUCAGAGUGGAGCAGGUUAAGUGUGAUGAUGGACUUCAGGGCCUAUUUUUUGUCGUCUCCAUGCUGCCUUAGACAUUCAUCUAAUGGCCCUCUAAUGGAGACGCUUUCUGCACCACAAAGACCCUCCUCUCACCCCGCUGCUGUAGCUUUUCUUGCUGUGCCUUUGAUCCUUAUUGUGACAGGGUUCAGACAGCUGUUGCCUUCUGCGGGGUAUUAUGGGUGGACCAAAGCUGGCACAGUUUUCUGCUCCAAAGUGCACCUACACAGGCUGGAAAUAGUAGGCAUGUUUGUCUGCGGGGGCAAAAGUACAUGAUGUUCUGAAGUUGGUGCGUACAGUAUGCCCUGUGAUCCAUGGAAAUAAAGGUAAACAAAGAGUGAAAACAAAA
This is a long non-coding RNA of Amphiprion ocellaris (clown anemonefish), 670 nucleotides long. NCBI's taxonomy places the organism in Eukaryota, Metazoa, Chordata, Actinopteri, Pomacentridae. The record is from Ensembl.